RNAcentral lists this transfer RNA (62 nucleotides) under Podarcis lilfordi (Lilford's wall lizard). RNAcentral describes it as "tRNA.Ala". Lineage: Eukaryota; Metazoa; Chordata; Lepidosauria; Squamata; Lacertidae. The record is from RNAcentral.
GUAGUUCAGCGGAAGAGCAGCUGCCUGGCGUGCAGAAGGUCCCAGGUUUAAUUUCUGGAACU